This is a long non-coding RNA of Rhagoletis zephyria (snowberry fruit fly), 139 nucleotides long. RefSeq lists it as uncharacterized. Lineage: Eukaryota; Metazoa; Arthropoda; Insecta; Diptera; Tephritidae. The record is from RefSeq and is a predicted model, not a curated record.
CUUUUAGUGCUUAUUUUUUUUAUAAAAGUCUAGCGGGUUAUAUAACAAGCACCAUAUAAAGCCACAUUUCAAACUUUGUACAAAAAUUCAACACAUUUUACCACAUUUCCCCAAAAAUUUCAAACUUUUUAGAAACUUU